UACGAAGGGUGCAAGCGUCACUCGGAAUUACUGGGCGUAAAGCGUGCGUAGGCGGUUUGUUAAGUCUGUCGUGAAAGCCCCGGGCUCAACCUGGGAAUGGCGAUGGAAACUGGCGAGCUAGAGUACGGUAGAGGAGAGUGGAAUUCCCGGUGUAGCAGUGAAAUGCGUAGAGAUCGGGAGGAACAUCAGUUGCGAAGGCGGCUCUCUGGACCAGUACUGACGCUGAGGCACGAAAGCGUGGGGAGCAAACAGG
This 253-nucleotide ribosomal RNA is filed under the name uncultured bacterium. Its description in RNAcentral is "partial 16S ribosomal RNA". It matches the Rfam family "Bacterial small subunit ribosomal RNA", at positions 524 to 776 of the family's 1533-position model. The record is from RNAcentral.